AAGUCGUAACAAGGUUUCCGUAGGUGAACCUGCGGAAGGAUCAUUAGUGAAUACUAGGGUGUCCAAUUUAACUUGGAGCCCGAACUCUCACUCUUCUAACCCUGUGCAUUUUGUAUUGCCUAGUAGGGGUGUUCGCACUCUGAACCGCUUUUACUCACAAACACAAAGUCUAUGAAUGUAUUUAAACUUUAUAACAAAACAAAACUUUCAACAACGGAUCUCUUGGCUCUCGCAUCGAUGAAGAACGCAGCGAAAUGUGAUAAGUAAUGUGAAUUGCAGAAUUCAGUGAAUCAUCGAAUCUUUGAACGCACCUUGCGCUCCCUGGUAUUCCGGGGAGCAUGCCUGUUUGAGUGUCAUGAACUCUUCAACCCUCCCUUUUCUCAGUGACUAGAGAGGUGCUUGGAUUCUGAGUGUUGCCCCUUACCCGGGCUCACUCGCAAUGCAUCAGCAUCCCAUUCGAAUUUCGGANUGACUUGNCGUAAUAGACUAUUCGCUGAGGAUUCUACUCUCGCAGUAGAGCCGGGUUCGAGAGGACGCUUCUAAUCUAGCUUAGUCUACUUUAAGAUUAGACCUCAAAUCAGGCAGGAUUACCCGCUGAACUUAAGCAUAUCAAUAAGCGGAGGAAAAGAAACUAACAAGGAUUCCCCUAGUAGCGGCGAGCGAAGCGGGAAGAGCUCAAAUUUGUAAUCUGGCGCUUUCGGCGUCCGAGUUGUAAUCUCGAGAAGUGUUUUCCGCAUUGGNCCGCACACAAGUCUGUNGGAAUACAGCGGCACAGUGGUGAGACCCCCGUACACGGUGCGGAUGCCCAAUGCUUUGUGAUACACUUUCAAAGAGUCGAGUUGUUUGGGAAUGCAGCUCAAAUUGGGUGGUAAAUUCCAUCUAAAGCUAAAUAUUGGCGAGAGACCGAUAGCGAACAAGUACCGUGAGGGAAAGAUGAAAAGCACUUUGGAAAGAGAGUUAACAGUACGUGAAAUUGUUGGAAGGGAAACGCUUGAAGCCAGACUUGCUUGCCGGGGCUUGCUCCGGUUCGCAGGCCAGCAUCAGUUUUCCGGGGUGGAAAAUCGCGGUUUGAAGGUAGCAGUUUCGGCUGUGUUAUAGCUUUCCGCUGGAUACACCCUGGGGGACUGAGGAACGCAGUGCGCUUUUAGCGGGGGCUUCGGCCCCUUCGCACUUAGGAUGCUGGUGGAAUGGCUUUAAACGACC
Molecule: ribosomal RNA, 1203 nt
Filed under: uncultured fungus
Lineage: Eukaryota; Fungi
Description: eukaryotic LSU rRNA
Rfam family: Eukaryotic large subunit ribosomal RNA (bases 568-1203)
Source: RNAcentral